CUUGUAGAGGGGGGUAGAAUUCCAGGUGUAGCGGUGAAAUGCGUAGAGAUCUGGAGGAAUACCGGUGGCGAAGGCGGCCCCCUGGACAAAGACUGACGCUCAGGUGCGAAAGCGUGGGGAGCAAACAGGAUUAGAUACCCUGGUAGUCCACGCUGUAAACGAUGUCGACUUGGAGGUUGCGGUCUUGAACUGUGGCUUCCGGAGCUAACGCGUUAAGUCGACCGCCUGGGGAGUACGGCCGCAAGGUUAAAACUCAAAUGAAUUGACGGGGGCCCGCACAAGCGGUGGAGCAUGUGGUUUAAUUCGAUGCAACGCGAAGAACCUUACCUACUCUUGACAUCCAGAGAACUUGGCAGAGAUGCCUUGGUGCCUUCGGGAGCUCUGAGACAGGUGCUGCAUGGCUGUCGUCAGCUCGUGUUGUGAAAUGUUGGGUUAAGUCCCGCAACGAGCGCAACCCUUAUCCUUUGUUGCCAGCACGUAAUGGUGGGAACUCAAAGGAGACUGCCGGUGAUAAACCGG
This 519-nucleotide ribosomal RNA is filed under the name Lonsdalea populi. RNAcentral's name for it is "bacterial SSU rRNA". It matches the Rfam family "Bacterial small subunit ribosomal RNA", at positions 648 to 1166 of the family's 1533-position model. Lineage: Bacteria; Pseudomonadati; Pseudomonadota; Gammaproteobacteria; Enterobacterales; Pectobacteriaceae. The record is from RNAcentral.